UGAUGUGGAGCGAAACUCAAAAAAUAAGUCUCAGUUCGGAUUGAAGGCUGAAAUUCGCCUUCAUGAAGCCGGAAUUGCUAGUAAUGGCAGGUCAGCAUACUGCCGUGAAUACGUUCCCGGGCCUUGUACACACCGCCCGUCACACCAUGAGAGUUGGGAAUACCCGAAGCCUGUGAGCUAACAUUUAUGAGGCAGCAGUCGAAGGUAGAAUCAAUGAGUUGGGGUGAAGUCGUAACAAGGUACC
This 244-nucleotide ribosomal RNA is filed under the name uncultured bacterium. RNAcentral describes it as "partial 16S ribosomal RNA". It matches the Rfam family "Bacterial small subunit ribosomal RNA", at positions 1258 to 1500 of the family's 1533-position model. The record is from RNAcentral.